Molecule: RNase P RNA, 412 nt
Filed under: Anaeromyxobacter sp. RBG_16_69_14
Lineage: Bacteria; Pseudomonadati; Myxococcota; Myxococcia; Myxococcales; Anaeromyxobacteraceae
Description: RNase P RNA component class A
Rfam family: Bacterial RNase P class A
About the family: Ribonuclease P (RNase P) is a ubiquitous endoribonuclease, found in archaea, bacteria and eukarya as well as chloroplasts and mitochondria. Its best characterised activity is the generation of mature 5'-ends of tRNAs by cleaving the 5'-leader elements of precursor-tRNAs. Cellular RNase Ps are ribonucleoproteins.
Source: RNAcentral
GGAGCCGCUCGGGCGAACGCGUCGGCUUGUAGGGCUGGAGCCGCCGAGGAAAGUCCGAGCACCACAGAGCAGGGUGCCGGUCAACGACCGGUCGGGGCGACCCGCAGGAAAGUGCCACAGAGAUCAGACCGCCGAACGGCGUCGAAAGGCGUGCGUGGCAAGGGUGAAACGGUGCGGUAAGAGCGCACCGCGCGCCGGGUAACCGGCGCGGCACGGCAAACCCCACCCGGUGCAAGAGCGAAUAGGGAGGCGAUCGUCCCCACCGCAAGGCGAGGACGGCAAGACCGGCUCGGUCNNNNNNNNNNNNNAAGCUCGCUGGAGGCGCGUGGCAACACGCGCACGAGAGGAAUGUUCGCCACCGUGCCUCUGCGGAGCCACGGGACAGAACUCGGCUUACAGGGCGGCUCCGGCA